Molecule: ribosomal RNA, 2041 nt
Filed under: Campylobacter coli
Lineage: Bacteria; Pseudomonadati; Campylobacterota; Epsilonproteobacteria; Campylobacterales; Campylobacteraceae
Description: partial 23S ribosomal RNA
Rfam family: Bacterial large subunit ribosomal RNA
Source: RNAcentral
AAAAAAGGUAAGCUACUAAGAGCGAAUGGUGGAUGCCUUGACUGGUAAAGGCGAUGAAGGACGUACUAGACUGCGAUAAGCUACGGGGAGCUGUCAAGAAGCUUUGAUCCGUAGAUUUCCGAAUGGGGCAACCCAAUGUAUAGAGAUAUACAUUACCUAUAUAGGAGCGAACGAGGGGAAUUGAAACAUCUUAGUACCCUCAGGAAAAGAAAUCAAUAGAGAUUGCGUCAGUAGCGGCGAGCGAAAGCGUAAGAGGGCAAACCCAGUGCUUGCACUGGGGGUUGUAGGACUGCAAUGUGCAAGAGGUGAGUUUAGCAGAACAUUCUGGAAAGUAUAGCCAUAGAGGGUGAUAGUCCCGUAUGCGAAAAACAAACCUUAGCUAGCAGUAUCCUGAGUAGGGCGGGACACGAGAAAUCCUGUCUGAAGCUGGGUCGACCACGAUCCAACCCUAAAUACUAAUACCAGAUCGAUAGUGCACAAGUACCGUGAGGGAAAGGUGAAAAGAACUGAGGUGAUCAGAGUGAAAUAGAACCUGAAACCAUUUGCUUACAAUCAUUCAGAGCACUAUGUAGCAAUACAGUGUGAUGGACUGCCUUUUGCAUAAUGAGCCUGCGAGUUGUGGUGUCUGGCAAGGUUAAGCAAACGCGAAGCCGUAGCGAAAGCGAGUCUGAAUAGGGCGCUUAGUCAGAUGCUGCAGACCCGAAACGAAGUGAUCUAUCCAUGAGCAAGUUGAAGCUAGUGUAAGAACUAGUGGAGGACUGAACCCAUAGGCGUUGAAAAGCCCCGGGAUGACUUGUGGAUAGGGGUGAAAGGCCAAUCAAACUUCGUGAUAGCUGGUUCUCUCCGAAAUAUAUUUAGGUAUAGCGUUGUGUCGUAAUAUAAGGGGGUAGAGCACUGAAUGGGCUAGGGCAUACACCAAUGUACCAAACCCUAUCAAACUCCGAAUACCUUAUAUGUAAUCACAGCAGUCAGGCGGCGAGUGAUAAAAUCCGUCGUCAAGAGGGAAACAACCCAGACUACCAGCUAAGGUCCCUAAAUCUUACUUAAGUGGAAAACGAUGUGAAGUUACUUAAACAACCAGGAGGUUGGCUUAGAAGCAGCCAUCCUUUAAAGAAAGCGUAAUAGCUCACUGGUCUAGUGAUUUUGCGCGGAAAAUAUAACGGGGCUAAAGUAAGUACCGAAGCUGUAGACUUGCGCACAACUUAGAUUAUUUAAGUUUAGAAUAUGAGAAACUAAGUUAUAUGUUUAGUUAUAUUUUUACUGAUUUUUAUAGAGUAAAGAUAGAAAUAAAACUUAGUAAAAUCAGUAAAAAUAUUCUUAGACUAAAGUUAAGUAGUUUAAGUUGUGUGCAAGUGGUAGGAGAGCGUUCUAUUUGCGUCGAAGGUAUACCGGUAAGGAGUGCUGGAGCGAAUAGAAGUGAGCAUGCAGGCAUGAGUAGCGAUAAUUAAUGUGAGAAUCAUUAACGCCGUAAACCCAAGGUUUCCUACGCGAUGCUCGUCAUCGUAGGGUUAGUCGGGUCCUAAGUCGAGUCCGAAAGGGGUAGACGAUGGCAAAUUGGUUAAUAUUCCAAUACCAACAUUAGUGUGCGAUGGAAGGACGCUUAGGGCUAAGGGGGCUAGCGGAUGGAAGUGCUAGUCUAAGGUCGUAGGAGGUUAUACAGGCAAAUCCGUAUAACAAUACUCCGAGAACUGAAAGGCUUUUUGAAGUCUUCGGAUGGAUAGAAGAACCCCUGAUGCCAUCGAGCCAAGAAAAGUUUCUAAGUUUAGCUAAUGUUGCCCGUACCGUAAACCGACACAGGUGGGUGGGAUGAGUAUUCUAAGGCGCGUGGAAGAACUCUCUUUAAGGAACUCUGCAAAAUAGCACCGUAUCUUCGGUAUAAGGUGUGGUUCGCUUCGUAUUAGGAUUUACUCCGAAAGCGAAGAAACUUACAACAAAGAGUCCCUCCCGACUGUUUACCAAAAACACAGCACUCUGCUAACUCGUAAGAGGAUGUAUAGGGUGUGACGCCUGCCCGGUGCUCGAAGGUUAAUUGAUGGGGUUA